CCCGCACGCUGCUUCGUGUGCGCUGUCGUUAGGGCGCCGUGGCCUCGCGUCCGGCGUGGGACUCUGGCGAGGAGACGGAGUGAGUGAGGAAUUCGUACAAGGGACUCUCAACCGCAGAGAGCCGUAGGAAGAAAUGAGGUGGAACCCGCAGACUUUUUAGAGCCUUCUCGCGGCCGAGGAGGGACUCUGGCUUAUUUCCUAACUCACCGUUCACUCGUGCUUUAUAGUUGAACAAUAGUUAAAUAUUUAAAGAUUCAGACAAAGCAGCAGCCGGGCUGGGAUGUGUCCAAUGAACCUUGUUACCAAGGGGGAAAUGCUGCCACUCUGUGGGAAAGAGAUUUUGUUGUUUGUUUUUAAUUUAAGAGCCUAACUUAUUUCACAAAGGAAUGGUCGAUACUUGCCCAAAGUAAACUGUCAAUAAUUAAACUGUCAGGGCAUAGAGAUCCCACAGAAGUACUUGUUCUUCCAAUACAUAAAUAAAGGACUUCAAAAGUCAACAAACAGAAAGGGGUGCGUUAAAUGGGUCUUCUAAUCUACAGGAACUGAAAGAUUAGCUCUGGUUUGGUUGGUGCUCACAUUUUGUGAUUGCUUGCCUGAACUACUUGCUCUGUUUGACCGCCUCUGGCGAAUGUUGCAAGACCUCCUCACUGUUGUGUGCCAAAUAAAGCAGGUUUUUAUUCCUGAGAGACUGUGAGUGUUCUCUUUGAGGGGCAAGCCGAGACAUGUAUGAGUAGUUAAAGUAUAACAACAGUAACCAUUAUUUACCGAGAAGCAGACUUUGGCAGAUAAUCUAAGGAUCUAAAAUACUGCUCCUCGGGUAUAUUGCUAAUGGUUGCAUAUUGUAUUAGCAGCAGUGGUCUUCUUAUUCUUGGGUGAAAACCUGAAGGGUUGCUUAGACCUGUUGCAGAACAAACAGCACAUAACCAGCUUGUAUCAGGGACAUGGUCACUUCAGUAGAUGGUUUCUCACAAGUUCUGCCUCCCACUGUGUUGCUGUUUUAUCUCUAAAGGCCCCAGGGUCCCCACAAGUCUUGGGAAUAAAAGGAAGCACAGUAAGGAACUGAAAAGUACUCACACAAAGGAAAGAAAGAAGCAAGCUUCUUUGGCUAUAGUGUACUGGAGACCUUGGGAUCUUUACGUUCUUGUUUUAGGGAUCAAUCUCCUGGUACAUUAGGCAGACUUGUGCAAACCCAAGAACAGCAUAGAGGUUGCUAUAGAGGACAGCCUUACUGUGGCCCUUCAUUACCUUAACCAAAGAUGGUAAGUAAGAUUGGCUCCCACACCGUGAACUGUUCAAUGGUGAGCAGCUCUUGAGUCUCCAUACUGAUACCCCUUCAGAACUCAUUCACUCUGAGAGCCUUUUCCUCUUAGACUAGAAAGCUUCCUAGUUGACCUCUAGUCAUUUGGGCUCCUUCACAUCAGUAAAUUAGUCUAUAUCUGACCAGUCCUCUAGCUCCUUAUCCUUUCUGAGAGGAAGGGGAGUAGUUGUGGUUUUGUUUGUUUGAGUCUUGCUAUGUAGUGGAGGCUAUACUUGGACCCUGGGUCAUUCUGGUCCAGCCUCUUAAGUAAUGGAAUGAUGGACAUUCACCACCGCUAUUGUCUCUUAACUCGGACUUUAGUGUCUCCCAAAUGUCCUUCAGACAUCGUUUUUAAAUAACAAUAAGUUCUGCCUUGUUCGUAAGUAAAUUUUAGCCAGGUGUAACCCCCUAGACUUGAAAGGUGAAGACAAGCAGGUUAAGAAUUCAAUAUCUUGAUAGGCAUGCAGUGAGUUUGAACCAUUCCAGGCUACUUGAGACCCUGCCUCAGAGAGGAGGUAGGGUGUUGAGGUAGUUCCCAUUGGAGUCCAGACUGGGAAGAGCUGUGUAUUCAAAAUUAAAACAGCUUGCCUGCAUAGGGAACUCUAAAGCGAAGGAAGAUCUACACAGUAUUUGUGAUUACACAAAGCCUUAAAAAAUUGUAAGUUUGCUUUUCUCUUGAGAAGGUGAUGUCUAGCAGACUUGUCAUUCAUUGGUCUCUAAAGUCUUUCUACCUUUGUAAGUACAAAGUUAAGUCUCACUCUAACCGUGUGUCAAUGAAAGGAGCAUGCCCUGAAUAAGAUUGUACUGUAGGGAUGUGAUUUGCUCUGGUUAAAAGGUGCUGAAAGGUCUCUCACCUGUACUUGGCCUUCUGCCCCCCACCCCUAGUUACCCUGUACAUAUAUGACUUCUUCUGGUAGGAUUGGGUUUUAUCCCUGAAGUUUUAUUUUUACAGUUUUGCUUUUCAUCCAAACACAGUGCAAAUGCCUCUCUUCAUCAGCACGUUUGUAACUUUAAGAAUUAAUUGGGCUCGUUAUAUUUUGAAGAGCAUGCUGAAGAAUAGUAAAUUUUAAAGAACCAGCUGAGAACAUUGUGUACCAUGUUCUGAAGUCAGUGCGUCUCAAAUACUGUCGCUAAUCCUGAAGUAAAUCACCCAUCAAAGAUUCAUGUUCUUAGACAGUUAAAGAACAGAAGACUUCAAAAGUAAAGCAGGAUUCUAAACAUACCUUACCAAAAUCCCCACUCGCUCAGAGUCUUGGCAGAAGUGUUUUUGUUUUUCUUUUUCCCUCCACAAAGUAGAGUUAUACUUUUUGAGUCUAUCAUUGCCCACAACUAAAAUCCCCGACUUCAGGAUUUCCUGCUGCCCAGGUGGUGGCAGCAUGUCUCAGAGAGCUAGUGUGCUGGGGAAAGGCUUAACCCCAGCCUGGCUGGCUGGCUGCUUGUUUGAACGUGCAUAACCUGCCUCUGUGCAGAACGCUUUCACUUCUCCAUUUAUCGACCCAUGAGUGAUUCAUCCCACUGUAGCCUCCUCUUCUAGGUACAUUACACUCCAGUAGUUUCUCUUCAGCUUGUUCUGUCUAUAAAGUAUCUAUCAGACUCUCUCUAGAAAACUCAUUAGGACCUAUCAGGCGAGACAGUGUUAUUUCAGUUGUUAUUUUUAACCAGUAUUUGAUAUUAUUGGCAGUACUGACAGUAUCAGUAUUAGCUAAUACUACUAAGAAAUGUCUGCUUAAAAUAAAGGCAUGGUGUCUUAAACUCACAGAUUCAUCAGCGGAGGAGCUUAUGAAAAGCAGAAUUAGGACUCAAACGAACAAGAAACUCCACAGAGAGUAAUGCGAGAUUAUCAUUUAUGGGUCUAAGAAGACAGAGGGUAUAGGACGCUGGCAGUCAAGGCUGAAUUCCAUCCCCAGAUCCCAACUCAUGGAAGAUCAGACACGAAAGUGUAUGUUGGGGGAAGACAAAGACUCGUGCCCCAAUGUAAGACCUUAAGGAUGGAGGGAGAUGCUCCUGUCUGAAGCCAUCAAUUUGCCAGGCUGUUCUCUAAAAUCGGAUGGAUCUUGGGGAAUGACUACGGACCGUUGCUGACUUAACUAAAUAGUACCUGAGUUCUGAGCCUCCAGCCUGGACUCGUGCUUCAGAUAAUGAUACUACCACAAAUACAAAGUCUUCAUCUGUUGAUUUGACGAGUGUCUUUAUCCUGUUCCAGUGGGAAGAGAAACAGUCCACCUUCACCAAAUACAGGCAAGGCUGUUAACUCCUCCACCCUCGAUCAUAAUAAAAAUGAAUUAAUCGGAAUCAUUUGAAUAUCCGUUAUAACAAUGGCCUGAUCCCGUUUAUCGACCAUAUUGUACUGAUUGGAUCUGAUGAACAAAAGACAGCCACUAUGCUGAAUACCUUUGCUCCAGAAGGAGGGGGUAAAUGCUAUAAAGACUAAAAGUUUUCUGACUCUUUAUUUUUUUUUUUAAUGUGUCUGCAUGCUCUUGUGUGUGCAUGCAUGUAGAGGCCAUAGGCAGCCUCAAGUGUCACCCUCAGGAAUGCCAUCUACCUCCUUUGCUUCGCACAGAAGCCGGUUGUCAUCCUCUGAGCUGCUCUAAUGAGAUGCAAGGACCGAAGGAUGGCUGAGGGCCAGGGAGGAGCUCAAUCCUGUCCUUGGGAGUCGGUCUGGUCACGUUCUCUUCUUUCAAGCUGAAGAUGGCACCCGCUCGGCUAAGCCGGUGAAUGUGGACUUACAAGGACUCAGCCAAGUCGUGUCUAGAUUACAGGCCAAAGAUGACGAGGGAAAGAGAGCACCAGGCAAAACAAAUUUUAAUUACAAUAAUGAUGAAUGGUCCAAUAGAGCUGCAAGAUAAUGGAAGGAAGAUGGGGUACCUGAAGCCAGCUCGUUAAAAUCAGAAAAGGUGUCCUCGAGGAAACGUGGGUCCCAGACUUAAGGUAAGUAUAAAACUAAUGAGUGUGAAUAUGGCAGAAUGAACACAGCGAAGGAGUAAGGAGAGCUAAGGGGUCCAGUUGUCAAAUGAGCAGGGAGAUGGCAUGUGAUUACUUGAAGAAGAGGGAGGACCCUCUAGGGAGUAGGGGGCUGCUGACAGAAGACAAAACUGAGGGGUUGAGCGGUCUGAACAGGAGAGGUGAGGACACACCUUCUGGUGGUGGCAGAGGGAGGGGGUCUAGGGGAGAUGGCUUAUUACUCAGGGUGGGGCAAGGAUAGGCAGCAAAAGCAUCAGGGGCUGGUCUCGGAGUCCGGUCUGGCGAUGCUAUAGCAGAAAGGUUAGGGCUGCCUGCUCACAGGAUUCGGGUAAAGCCUGAGACAGAGGGGUGGGGGAGGGGAGACAACUGUUCUGAUCCAAACUUCCUAACUUUAGAGCAUACACAUCAGCAACUGAUGAGUCGCACUUGAGGUGGAAACCAAUAUGCCAGUGCCAUUUGGUGGAAGAACACAUGGGAGAGGAUGCCUUACUGACCUGGGAGGAAUUUUGAGUGUGACUUUAUUUAUCGCUGUGUUUUAGUGAUUUGUAGUCAGUUUUUUAAUAAGACUGGGAAGACCAUUUCCUUUUUUUCCUUUUUUUUUUUGUUUUUUGUUUGUUUGUUUGUUUUGUUUUGUUUUUUUUAGACAAAGCUUAGGUGGCCCAGGCUGACCCUGAACUUCUGAUCUUCUUGCUUUGCCUCUGGAGAGUUGGGGGUUACAGAAGGGCACCGUCGUGCUUUGCUUAGGAGACCUUGAGAAUUAGCUGUGUUGACUUGGAGAGCACACUUUACUUCAGGAUGACCCACAGACUCUAUUCUCAUCCACUGGUUGUGGUAGUUUGUUCAGUUCUUCCAUUUUAGGUACCUUUGCCCCAAGCUCAAGCGUUUUUUAUUUAGACAUCAAUAGAAUAGGAGCUGACAGCACAUCAAAUUUACGUGUAUUUUAUUUCAUUUUUAUAGAUGAAUUCUGUAUUUACAUCCUUCCAUUCUUCCCCCCUCAAUUUUUCCUGUUUCCCUAACUCCUUUUAAAAUUCACAAUCUCUUAAUUAUUAUCAUUAUAUAUGAAUGCAUAUGUAUAUAUCUAUACAUGCUACACAAAUAUAGCAAUAAUAUUAUACACACCCACAACCUGUUGAGUUCCUUUAGUGUUCUCAUAUGUAUGUGAGUUUAGGGCUGACUACUUGGCAUUCUAAUUUUGAGCCUAGACUUUAAUGGCUGAGACAUCUCUCCAGCCCAGGGCUAGCCACUUAGGGUUAGAUAACCCAAUUGGUGGCUGGUCCCUGGAAAAGACUGCUUCUCCCUCUCUUAAUAGCCAUUGGUUACCUGUAGCUCUUCAUUGCAUGGUGGGGUCCUGUGAGUGAUAGCAUUUCAUGAUCCUUGCUAACGAUUUGGUCACUGUUUUCUUUUCAAAGAGCGAUACUGCCCAAGAUGUUUCUGCCCAGAGUGUCAGGGCAAGCGUACAUGCUUUACUGUGGAUCUAUGACACAGAUGCAUGCCCGCUUUCCAGCAAAAGUCUGCUCACCUGCUGGGCAGGGCUCUCCGUUUUUUUUUUUAUUGAGUGGUGAAGACACAUAGCAUUCCCACUACUUAAUCUUGACGCUUUGAACUUUUCAAGCUGUUUUUCCUUCCCCUUUAGUCUGGAUAGCCGCUGUGUCCCCACAAGAGGAGGAACAGUCAUGGAGAAACACAACUGAACUUUACUGUGGCAAAAAGAAAGGGAAAAUAACAAUUAUGAGGUCUGGACAUCGAGCCUGAGGCUGGUGUUAAAAAAAAAAGAAUGCUUAUGUCUGCAUAACUUAACUUGUAUCUCUUCAGUAAAUCAAACCUGCUAUUCCACUUGACUGCAUCCAAGUCACUUAGAUGUCUGCCAACAAGAACAUUAAUGAACUCAGUAUCUCACGCAGGUUUGUUCAUGUAGAGCCCACAAUUGCUUAGCCUCCCUUCCAGCUGCUGCCUGGGCUCCAUCUGAAGGAGGUGGACAGCUGGACCAGGUCAUCACUUAACCCCAGGAUGUGGUAUGUCCUGGUCUUCAAGUCCUCUGUCUGGUUUUAGGAUGGCAUGGCUUUGAAAAGUAGUAGUUCUUGUCCUGAAAAACUUCAUGAAGCUUUGCUGCGUUCUGCCUUUGACGUAAGUGCCUGUCACAUGCUACAUAACUGACUAUGUUGUACUCUUGCUCUCUGGGGUCUCAGUUUACCUCCAUGGAUUUAUAAUUAAUGGGAUUAUUCCAGAACACAUUGUUACUCCUUAGAUUUCUCCAGAUGAUACGAGACGAUUAAGAGAAAUGCUGAAGUUGAUAUGAACCUAAUUUGUCAAAAAUGUAACAGAAUUAUAGAGAGAUCAGUCACUCCCAAACCUUUCUGCAGGUGGAGUCUAACGAAGGGAGGUCUAUAAAGUUCUAAGUCCCAGGCUGCGUGCCAGACCAAUAAAACCACACUUCUGAGGAUGGGCUUCAGGCAACAGUAGUAUGUUCACUCCACAGGUCAUCCCCAUGUGGAGACAUGUUUGGAAACCACAGAUCUGGACAAGGCCGUUGGCAACACGUCUGUGGCUCGUUCUCCCCUGCCCUGCCCUGCGGUUGGUGGCAUGUUUUUGGCUUUUUAGCAUCUUCCUUAUCUCCAUCCACAGAGAACUCCGAAGUUGGAAGCCUAAGCAGGAACACUGGACCAGACAUGACUGAAAGGUAACAACCAUUAAAGGAGCAAAGACCAAAAAGUGUGUCUGAAGCAGAUGGCUGCACUUCCCGCUGGGUCGAUGCUAAUUUUUAAGCAUGUUACUAAUGACAAAGUUUUUUUUUUUUCCUCUUGCAAUUUCAGACACCAAAGACUUUUCAAACAGUUUGUGAACUCUGUUUAAUGAGAUACAAGUCUCUUUUAUGCUGUAAGCUUUAGACUUCCCUUGCUUUGGGACUUGGUUGGGUUAGUGACUGUGAAACAGGAAGUUCUAUGAGCACGGAGUGAGGACUGUCCACUUGUCAUGUUUAAAGAAUCACAAUCUGAUGCAAACAAAAGAGUAGGUAUUGAAAGCCUUACAUUUCUGUGUAUAGACAAUACAUUACUUAUUUAUAGAAAUAACUACUUAGCUGUCCAGAAACUGAGGGGAAGGGGGUUUAAUUAUAGCAACAAUGUUUACUCGUAGGUGAAUUUACAUGUUGGAGCUCAGAGCUCUAACACUGCACAAAUAAUUGCUUGCUGGCUUGUAAAAUUUUAGGACUAGCAGAGGAACUCAGUUAUUUUGCCAGCUCUACCUUGGGAGAGACAGAUUGAAAUAAAAUUGCAACUCGAGUUUUUGGAUGACUCCAAUUAUCUAAAUAGAUGUGGCCUUAAUUUAAAGAAGUUUAUGAACAAGUUCACUAUAUAUAUUUCACUAUUUUUAAGCUUUAGUCAACUUAGAAGCAAUGGAUACUUCGUUCCUGAUCUAUUGCUUACUUAAAAACUUUCCAUGCUAAUAUGUAAAAGACCUUGUGCUUCAUUCGUCUCUGACUGCUAGCACCGACCGAGCAGUAGAAACCAAAGACUCAUAGCUAUAAUCUAAUCAUUCAUAAUAUCUCUUAGGAAAAAAAAUUCCAGAAACAAUUCUGGUUGGGAAAUGCAUUUUUAAUAUGUAUAUAUAUAUGUAUACUGUACAUAAUUGUUCUGUAUAUAACUGUUUGAGGUGUAUUACUACAAUGGAAUGAGUCCCACAGGAUACUAGAAUUUAGCUUACAGUGUUGGAAGGCCGGAGAGUCCUGACUCCGUGACUAGUUCAUCUCAUGUUGAUUGGCAGGCACCAACAGCUGGACCACAUUAGCUGUUACACACGAGCCAGAACAAAAAGGCCAGGCUUACCACCUUAAAACCACCUCGUAGGCCCUCAGUGGAGGGGGCCCGGGAAGAUGACUUGAUGGUUAGAAGCAUUGGCUGCUUUUCCAGAGCACCCACAUGACAGCUAACAACCAUUUAUAGCUCUAGUUCCAGGGGACCUGAAGCCUUCUUCUGGCCUCUGCAAGCAGUGAACACCCCCUUUGCAUGGACAUACACGAAGGCCAAACACAUAAAAUAAAAUAAUAAACCUUCAGGGGCUCUAGAGCACUUCCUUCCCAAGGCAUGCUCUGCGGACUUCUUUCUUGGAGAUAGUCCAAGGCCUCACCUUUGAAAGGGAUGGCUACCUCUAAAUAUCACCACUGUGAAGACCCAGGGUACACUAUAUGAACACUCACAGAGACACAAACUCUAUUAAGAGUUUCUAUUAUUAGAAAUAAACUUUUAUCCAAGAUGUGGAAAUUACAAUGGUCACCAUUUUUCGUAUAAGAAUUUUAGCUCUAUCAUUACUGAGGAAAUUAUGAACAGCUGGAGUGUGCUACUAGCGUGUGUAGGACAUAGAGUCCAGGGGCCUGUGUCCACAUUGCAGUUACUCUAAUAUCCAGUGGCAUUUUAUUUGUCUUUUGCUAAAAUGCCUUUUUAAUGUACACAUUUGCAUUUUGUCCCAGAGGGCACUUGGGCCAAUCCACAGGAAAUGUCAUCUCCUGUCUGCCAGUUUUAAAUUUCAUUCCAAGGAAGGGCUGCCAUUAUAGAGUGUUGUUGCUGUUGUCCACUAUGCAGCCCUCCCUUGCUGCUCCGGAACUCACAGAGGUUUGCCUGCUUGGCUUCCCAAAGGAUUAAAGAUUUACAAGCAUCACCUGCUCAGUUCCAGCUUCCGCAUGACGGCUGGUGGAUUCCUGAAGACUCCUACUCCAAGGGUACAGAGACUAAGGGCAGAAGUACCUGAGUGAGCAGGUACGCAGCCUCCUCAGUCUCCUUGCAGCAGUGAAUGGAGCUUACACUGAGCCAACAAUAGAAGAAAAACCACUCCACUUCCCUCACAAAGCUCUGGAGUAACUGGAUGGGGGAUUGGUGCUCACCUACUACAAGUCUCCCUCACUGUGAUUGUCAAACUUUUUCUCUCACAGGACUAAGCACCUUCUCUGUCCAUCGAUUGUCGUUCUCUUUCUAUAUCUGCCAAAUUGCUGGGUAUUGCUACCUGGAAGUCUCUGUCCUGGCAGUUUUACGUGGUGGGUUCUAAAAUUUUCACUCAAAUAUUAUCCACCCAAAGAUGCCUUCUUGGAACAUGCAAAAAAAAAAAAACUUUAUUAGUUACACAGUCUCUUUUCAUUUUGCGUUAUAUUACGUGUCUGCGCGGCACUCGCUCUUCUCAGGUAUUUUUCCUGGCCUACUGACUAUUGAACUUCAGUGAAACUCCAUGAGGACAAAGACCCUAUCUGAGUGGGUGCAGUGUUAGUUCCUAGUGGGUCCUACUGGGCCAAUUACCCACUGAGUGAGUAGAAAGUGAGAAUUAAAAAAAAAACAUAUAAAAUAAACAGGAGUUUAAAGAGAAUUCUUAUUGAGGAGAGAUACAAGAAGGAAGAGAAGUUUUGAUUCGUGUCUAACGAUUCACUUUUAAAACAGGCAAGGACCAGGUCUGGACUUCAUCAUUUACUAUCUGUGCAGUUUUAGACAAAUCGCUGAGCUGCCGUUCACUUGUUGGGUUGAUUGGUUGGUCCUUGUGAUGCUGGGGAUCAAACCCAAGGACCUCACACAUCUGCACAUGCUAGGCGGGUGCUGUGCCACAGGGCACCCUACAUCCCCUGUCCUAGCAUUUUAAACUUUCAGAUGAAUAUAAUGCUUAUCUCCCUGAGCCGCUGUGAGGAGAUAUAUUACAUUAUGUAAUGAUGCAGAGGAAACGCUGAGCAUGGCGUCUGCCCCAUGGUCAAUGCUAGGUACAUCCCAAUGACUGUCAUCACCAGCAUCAGCAUCAUCUUCUGCAUCAGCAUCAUCUCCUUCAUCAUCGUUGUCACCAUCGCCGCGCUCAGUCUUACUUCUCCAUUUACUGAAAUAGCACACCAGAACUGUCAAGAAGAUGCUGGUUUUGUUUCAUAGCGUGUCUUCCUCAUCUCUACCUCAGCCUUAAACCUCCAUCUGAUUUCAUUUCUUCACCGUCUUUCACCAUACCGGUUAGGAACACAUCAUGGUCAUUGCCCAUUUUAUCUGUUACUUUUCUAUUGGUGUGAUAAAACACCAUAUCAAGGCUAGUUGGGGAAGAGUUUACUUGGGCUUAUGGCUACAGAGGUUUGGAGUCCAUGAUGGUAGAGUAAGGCAUGGUGGCAAGAUCCGAAGCCAGGGGUCAGAUGUUCAACUGCAGGCAUGAAACAGAGAAAGAGUGGACUCAGAAUGGCCUGAGUCUUUGAACUCUCAAGCCUGUCUCCUAUAACAUAAUUCCUUCAACCAGGCUACACUCCUACGUCUUCCCAAACAGUGACACCAACUAGGAACCAAUGCUUAAAUAUCAGACCCCACAUUCCCAUUCAAACCACCACCAAGUUCAUGAAAUGGACCCUACCGCCCACUGCCGAUCUUACCAUAAGCCUAGACUUGACCACUCGUUGGCUUACAGUCACGUUCUCUUUAUGGUUUUGUAUCACCUCAUCAUCCAUAUUUCUGCCUUAUACUUUAUAUUUCAAUCUUUACACUCUAUAGUUUAGUCUGGACCAAAUGUUUAUUGUCUCCACAAUGAAUCAGCUGAAGAACCUGGGUCAUCACUUUGAGUGUCUCUCAUGUAGCUUUGUUUGUAAGCCAGUCCAUCAUGGUCCUCUGUCUUCUGCAUUCUUUGAACACUGGAUCCAGACAUUUGACCAAACUCAGGUUAGAAAUUUUCUGUAAGAGUUCAGAUGGGUGUGUUGCCUCUCUUUUGAAAUGUCACCAUUGUCUAGCUCAGUGGUUCUCAACCUUACUAACCCUGUC
This 11007-nucleotide small RNA is filed under the name Rattus norvegicus (Norway rat). RNAcentral describes it as "uncharacterized LOC102549347". Lineage: Eukaryota; Metazoa; Chordata; Mammalia; Rodentia; Muridae. The record is from RNAcentral.